RNAcentral lists this long non-coding RNA (583 nucleotides) under Anas platyrhynchos platyrhynchos (common mallard). RNAcentral describes it as "lncRNA (ENSAPLG00000018817.1)". The record is from RNAcentral. Lineage: Eukaryota; Metazoa; Chordata; Aves; Anseriformes; Anatidae.
CAGCAACAGAAGAUCCACUGUGGUGACACUGUAGCUGUGUCAAAUGACAUCCACCCUCUCACAGCUGUGGGUCUGAACACCGCUGCAGGAAAAAAAGAGGGACUUUGGCUCAAUGCAUUCCUAGAAGAGAUCUAUUUCCUUGGUUCCUAGAGCAUCUUUUUACACUAGGAGUGAUACAAGCUUCAAGCUGCAGAAUGUGGUUUUAACAUUGCAGCAAAGCCAAGGAGAGACUCUCCUCUACAAAAGCAGAAGGUCCAGCUGAUUUCAACCGGCUCCAUAUGGGCAGCCACUGAGCCACAUACCUUCAGUCCUGGAAGGAUUCUUUCCCAGACAUGCAGGAAAAGAGUAAACGAAGAAACAUGAAAACAUCAUUUCUGGAGGAGAAACAGCAUGAAACCAAUCUGGCUGCAACAUGUAUGUUUGUAAACACUGGACCACAUUCUCAACUGCAUAGCUUCAUUGACUUUGAUUAGUAAAGAUCUGGUCUACUGGUUUUCUCUCAGAUAAAUAUUAAUGUGCACUUACUUCUGUCUCAAAAUGGAUCUCAUUGAUAUCAAAUGCAGAAAGGACAGCUGAAACAAGG